Molecule: transfer RNA, 72 nt
Organism: Dictyostelium discoideum AX4
Lineage: Eukaryota; Evosea; Eumycetozoa; Dictyosteliales; Dictyosteliaceae
Rfam family: tRNA
About the family: Transfer RNA (tRNA) molecules are approximately 80 nucleotides in length.
Source: Rfam
GUUUCGAUAGCUCAGUGGAAGAGCAAGCGACUGCAAAUCGUUAGGUCGCCAGUUCAAUCCUGGUUCGGAACU